CGGGGAAGCGUAACCCCGUACCUGAAAACCGCCCAAUACGAGCCCAAUAGGGCUCAAGGGCUCUAGCGCAUUAUGCGAGGAGCCAAGGCCUCGAUAGUGGCAUGCAAGGCGCGGGUUUUCAUUCCGUCGGGCACUCCGUCAGAGGCACCCUCUUUUAGAGUUGUUGUUGUGCCCCGUUAGCCGGUGGACACCCUUUGCGACGCGCUGGGGCGAAGAGCUGGGGAAGAGCAUCGUCC
RNAcentral lists this long non-coding RNA (236 nucleotides) under Volvox carteri. Its description in RNAcentral is "long non-coding RNA (VCAR_LNC001387)". The record is from RNAcentral. Lineage: Eukaryota; Viridiplantae; Chlorophyta; Chlorophyceae; Chlamydomonadales; Volvocaceae.